UAGCCUAGGCCGGGCAGGGCUGGGCCAAAAGACCAGGCGGCCGGCAGAGUCUGGCCUCAGAGAGGCGCCGCCAUCUUCAGGUCACUGAGAUUCCAGUCCCGCAGCCUUGGUGUGACGUGUUGGUGCUCAUCAUCUUGUAUGGCAACCCCAUCCCCGUCAGUCUGCUGGUCACUCUGGCAAUUGUGAAAUAUAUUCAGGCCCAGUUGAUAAACUGGCUCUUGACACCAGAGGUGGGGGGAACGGUCCCCCCACCCUGCCGCGGGGAGGGUCUCGCGGGGCAACGACCGCAAAGGCGGGCGAGGGCUGCCCGCUGAGUCACGGGGACCCCGACCCAGGACGCCAGGAGGCCGAGGGCUGGGGCGCAGCGAGGUCACCGGACACCCCGCACCCCGCCCCUCCCAGCAGCCGCGGGCGGAGGAGAGAGGCGCCGCGGGCAGAGCGGGAAGAGCCGCCAUCAGCCGGCACGGCCGGUCCCUCGCCUGGCGCGAGGUCAACGCCCGGAGAGCGUGACGUCACCGCGUCCGUCUGCGUCCUGGGUUUAACCUCUCU
Molecule: non-coding RNA, 549 nt
Organism: Microcebus murinus (gray mouse lemur)
Lineage: Eukaryota; Metazoa; Chordata; Mammalia; Primates; Cheirogaleidae
Source: RefSeq, a predicted model, not a curated record